RNAcentral lists this non-coding RNA (192 nucleotides) under Brevibacillus composti. Its description in RNAcentral is "Brevibacillus sp. FJAT-54423 6S RNA". It matches the Rfam family "6S / SsrS RNA". Rfam says of the family: E. coli 6S RNA was the first non coding RNA to be sequenced, but its function was unknown until recently. It consists of 184 nucleotides that fold into an extended hairpin structure with a large single-stranded internal bulge. The record is from RNAcentral. Lineage: Bacteria; Bacillati; Bacillota; Bacilli; Caryophanales; Paenibacillaceae.
AAGAUCCUGCGAUGUGCGUAAGGCUCUAAAUGUUUCUAACCUUAUACGUAUGAUCUGGGAGACAGAACUUCACGGAUAUGUCAGGCCCACCUCCCGACGGGACGCAUGGGAAGGCAGACACGUGGACGGGUCACCCACCUGUGUGAGCGCAGGUUAUAGAAACAUGAGGUCGGACGGCAGAGCGGGUUUUUU